Molecule: long non-coding RNA, 915 nt
Organism: Mustela erminea (ermine)
Lineage: Eukaryota; Metazoa; Chordata; Mammalia; Carnivora; Mustelidae
Exons: 5
Source: RefSeq, a predicted model, not a curated record
GCCCUCCUUGUCAGAGCCUGGGAACAAGCUGAAGUGUCUGAACCAAAGUGACCAGGCAAUGAGUUCCCUUCUGUAACUCAUAGGAAUACACAUCUUUGUAAUCAGCACAAUUCAAUCAACUUCCACUAUCGUUGUUCUUUAAGUGACCACUCUGGGUGAGCUGUACUAGUUGUGAAGACUAUUUACGUCUAGACUCCAGCCUCUGAGAAAAAAAUAAAAGAUUACGAUAAUGUACUUAUGAAGAUGAAUGAAUCCAUUUCUUCUAUUUGAUAUGAAACUCCUUAAAGUUCUGCAGCCUCCUUUUUGCUUAUUCAACGCUCCACUCCUUUUUAUGAAGUGCUGGGCACUGUGGAUAUCUUGAGGAUACAAAGGGAGAAGGCAUCAGGUUGGCUAAGCUUAGGCCAUGUGUCCACCAUUGGCCAGAGGAAGAUAGGUACCACUAUUGACUAUAUCCUGUAAAAAAGAAGUGUUUAUCCAAACCACAUUUGGAAUGCUGUGAUCACAAAAAGGGAGAAAAGAUACUGAGCUGCCAAAAUAAAAUUGUCCACUAUAGGAGUCAGUCUUCUUGCUGGAUGAGUUCUCAGAGUCCCAGUCUUGUGGAUUCCUAGUCUAUACCUUUCUCUGUGCUUAACUGAAUGAAGUUUCAGCAUGCCUUCUAAUUGGUUCCACAUGGUUUCCAAAGCUCUCAAUAUAUGAAUACCAGGAGUCUUUGAAAUAUAAUUCUCCAAUAAGAAGUAAGCAUAAAUAAUGGAAAAGAAUCUAUUUUUCUCCAGAAUGGUAGAUUUUUAGAUACUAGAAAUGUAAAUAACAAUGAGAACCCACAAAGAAACCUCUUUUUUAUUUAAAAAAAAAAAAAAAACCACAACCCUGUAUAGUCAUAUCAUUUAGAGCAACACCUUAAGGAAAAAAAGUCAU